AAGUCGUAACAAGGUUUCCGUAGGUGAACCUGCGGAAGGAUCAUUUCCGAAAAAACAUAACCAUUAACCCCACUGAGAGAAAUGAAGGUGGAGGAGGGGAUUAAUUUCUCUUCUUUUGCUUUUGUUUUCUUUUUGUUCAUGUGUACUUGAUAUGUUUACUCGUAUCAUUUUAGUCCAAGUGUCUCCCUUUUUUUUACUCUCGAAGACUUCUUUGUUGUAAGUCGGAGAGAGGCCAUUGAAGAACCCCUUUUAUCCUUGUCAAAGAAGAAUUUAUUUUUUUCAAUGAUGUGGAGAAAAAAACAAAUUAAAAGUUAUUUAAUCCUUUUGAAACAUAAAGAAUGAAACAAAAACAAAUUUAUACGACAACUUUUAACGGUGGAUCUCUUGGCUCGU
This 393-nucleotide unclassified non-coding RNA is filed under the name fungal sp. RNAcentral describes it as "partial internal transcribed spacer region". The stretch from base 1 to 46 matches the Rfam family "Eukaryotic small subunit ribosomal RNA", at positions 1786 to 1831 of the family's 1831-position model. Lineage: Eukaryota; Fungi. The record is from RNAcentral.